GAAAGGGGAGCUUGUGUGCCAGGCUGAGAGGAAGCGGAGGGCUUCGACCCAUAACCUGAUUUGGAUAAUGCCAACGUAGGGACGAACAUACA
Molecule: non-coding RNA, 92 nt
Filed under: uncultured Blautia sp.
Lineage: Bacteria; Bacillati; Bacillota; Clostridia; Lachnospirales; Lachnospiraceae
Source: RNAcentral